AGAAUCGCGGCGACGUGGGCGGUUCGCUGCCCGCGACGUUGUGAGAAGUCCACUGAACCCUAUCAUUUAGAGGAAGGAGAAGUCGUAACAAGGUUUCCGUAGGUGAACCUGCGGAAGGAUCAUUG
This 125-nucleotide ribosomal RNA is filed under the name Lonchocarpus michelianus. RNAcentral's name for it is "partial 18S ribosomal RNA". It matches the Rfam family "Eukaryotic small subunit ribosomal RNA", at positions 1711 to 1831 of the family's 1831-position model. The record is from RNAcentral. Lineage: Eukaryota; Viridiplantae; Streptophyta; Magnoliopsida; Fabales; Fabaceae.